UUUCCGUAGGUGAACCUGCGGAAGGAUCAUUGCCGAUUAGAAGGGGGGAAUCUUCGGAUUCCCCCUUUUUCAAUCCACAAACCACACCACGUGCACCUGGGAGGAAGGAAGGGGAGCCUGCGGGCUUCCUUUCCCCCCCUCUGUUCAUACGAAACCCUUCUGUUAUUAGAGCGUGUUUUGCGAGAAAAAGUCGAAAACUUGACACAACUUUCAACAACGGAUCUCUUGGCUUUC
RNAcentral lists this unclassified non-coding RNA (234 nucleotides) under soil metagenome. RNAcentral's name for it is "partial contains small subunit ribosomal RNA, internal transcribed spacer 1, and 5.8S ribosomal RNA". The record is from RNAcentral.